UACAGAGGUCCCAAGCGUUGUUCGGAUUCACUGGGCGUAAAGGGUGCGUAGGUGGUCGGGUAAGUUUGAUGUGAAAGCUCUGGGCUCAACCCAGAAAUGGCAUUGAAUACUAUCCAACUAGAGGAGUGGAGGGGGGACUGGAAUACUUGGUGUAGCAGUGAAAUGCGUAGAUAUCAAGUGGAACACCAGUGGCGAAGGCGAGUCCCUGGACACUUCCUGACACUGAGGCACGAAAGCUAGGGGAGCAAACAGG
This 253-nucleotide ribosomal RNA is filed under the name uncultured bacterium. RNAcentral's name for it is "partial 16S ribosomal RNA". It matches the Rfam family "Bacterial small subunit ribosomal RNA", at positions 524 to 776 of the family's 1533-position model. The record is from RNAcentral.